UCAUAAACCGGAGGAAGGUGGGAUGACGUCAAGUCAGCAUGGCCUUUAUAUCCUGGGCUACACACACGCUACAAUGGGAAGGGACAAUAGGUUGCGAAGCCGCGAGGCGGAGCCAAUCCAGCAAAACUUCCCUCAGUUCAGAUUGCAGGCUGCAACUCGCCUGCAUGAAGUUGGAGUUGCUAGUAAACGCAGGUCAGCCAUACUGCGUUGAAUACGUUCCCGGGGCUU
This 228-nucleotide ribosomal RNA is filed under the name uncultured Anaerolineaceae bacterium. RNAcentral describes it as "partial 16S ribosomal RNA". It matches the Rfam family "Bacterial small subunit ribosomal RNA", at positions 1156 to 1382 of the family's 1533-position model. Lineage: Bacteria; Bacillati; Chloroflexota; Anaerolineae; Anaerolineales; Anaerolineaceae. The record is from RNAcentral.